Molecule: long non-coding RNA, 4472 nt
Filed under: Sus scrofa (pig)
Lineage: Eukaryota; Metazoa; Chordata; Mammalia; Artiodactyla; Suidae
Description: lncRNA (ENSSSCG00040016945.1)
Source: RNAcentral
GUAAAGAGCCUUAAUUUGCUAAACUUUGAAACGAUGGCAUUUUGUCAGACUAAAAGACUUCGUGUAGGUGUACACAGAAUGUCAAGGAUGAGUCAAAGAUUAAUACCUAGAGCAAAGAGUAUGAUGGGAAUUUUAUGCCUCUGCCUUGGAAAUCAUGUUGGGGAAAGGCAAGUAUUGACUGAUUAGAGAGUGCUACUUAUAUUGGCUUGUAAUUUGAUCAGAUGGAUUACACCCAGUUCCAAGUAUGGAGAAAGCCUGAAGCCAUGCAUUUAAAUAGUUCUGCAAAUUCUGUCAAGCAUGGAGCGUAUCCAUUGGCAGGGGAGCGCCAGCUAUGUAAAAGGUCUCAAAAGUUUGGGAGUUCCUUUUAUCUCAGGAUGCAUCACACCGUGAUCAUAAUAAGAAUUUUCCAAAUGCCCAAAUCAUGCUACAAUUGGAGUUCCAGUAAUCUCAAAAGUGAUCCACCAGCAGAAUGAUGUUUUUUAAAUUCUUUAUAAGUAUAUGCAUUUUUGGUAUUCAGUAGCUGCUCGUUAAGUUCUUCAAGUUACCUUGGGUCACUGUGGAUGGGAUGAAAGAACUGCAAGACUCCCUCUGUCCUUGAAGAUCUGAAACAUUCAAUAAAAACAAUUAGACUUGUGUCCCUAGGGAAAAUAUCUUGAUGAUACAAUAAAAUGGCACUAAAAAUGAGAAAAAUCUGUAAAGCCACAAAGCUCAAGGUUCUAAAGAUUGCGUGACAGCAGGCAUAUUGGGAGGGUAAAGGAGCUACACGUGGUUGACUAUCUGUGCAAUAGUUUAAAGAAAUCAUUAUGUCUGUUUAAGGACAUAGAAUCUUGGCCUGAGAAGUAUUAUUGUCACGUAAUUCCUUUAAUUUAGAGCCUGGGCAUAAUUAUGUGCUCAUGACAAUUCUUGCUAUGGGAUGGAAGAGAGUUGACUGUGUGAUAGACUUCGUGUGUGCUCCCAUGGGCUCGGCUUUCAAAAAACCUCAUUUCAUUUUCAGGAGACUCCUGUUGGGUUGAUGGAUCAGACUUUGACAGACUGAAACAAUUAAUUGAGGCUCACAGAGAUAAAGUUAUUUGCCUAAAAUGACACAAAGGAGAAUUUCAAAGUCAGUUGUUUUCUAAAGAGCAGUUUUUGUUUGUUUUUUUAUACUAUUGUGCCAACAAACCCGGUUUUUUAACCUAAAUUCCCUAAAGGAGGCGAUGUUUGCUACCAUGAUGGUGGAACAUUUGGCUACUUGAUUGAAAGGCAAUGAAUCUACUUUCAAAGAAAUCCACAAGUGGUUCGGGGUUCUCACUUUAACACCUUUCUUUGGGUCUUCAAUAUCAAAGUUUAGGAAUUAGGAAUGUGGCCCCUGAUUCAGAUUUUGGCUCAGCCGCUUACCAGCUCUGUGACCUUGAGCAAGUAAACCAACCUUUUUAUUAGACCUCUUUUUCCUUUUUAUGAAAACAAUUAGCAAUAACUCCAUUUGAGGUUGGAACUAAGUGGGCCAUGCUCACGAAAUGCUUAGAACAGUACCAGGCAUGUGGCAAAGGGUCAGUCAAUAUUAGCUGUUAUUAUCCUCAUUGUUCUCAAUUUUUUUUUUUUAGGGUCGCGUAUUGAAAUUCCCAGGCUAGGGGUUGAAUCGGAGGUGCAGAUGCCUGCUUACACCACAGCCACAGCAAACACGGGAUCCUUAACCCCCUGAGCUAGGCCAGAGGUCAAACUGGCAUCCCCUCGGAUACUACGUCCGGUUCUUAACCUGCUGAGUCACAACGGGAACUCCAUGAUUCUCAAAUUUUGAUCUCUUAACCAACCAGCGGUCCCAAGCUGCAGACUCAUAUAUCCUCCUGAUGCUGCUGGUGAGAAUGUUUUCCUGGAUAGUUGCAGACCUCUCCAGCCCCUCAUGUGCAAAAUAGAGCUCACCAUUGACAAGUUAAAACAAAUAGCUGGGUGCAGGGAGUGGUGAGCAAGCCCUGAGUAAAUGUUAGCGGUUAUUGUUAUGAAGCCCCGAGCUAGUCUCUCCUGAAUUCUUCUCUUCCUAAAGGGCACAUCAUCAUCCAGAGAAGCUCAUCCAGAAAGCUGAGUGUUGUCCCAAAUUCCCGAAUUUUCUCCUUCCAGCAAGAUCCAGCCAGUCCCUGCCUCCAUUCAAUUUUUUUUCCCCUCGCAAGUAGCGUUUAUGCCUUCAGUUCCCAAUGCCUCAUCGUUUUGGCUUUAGUUUAUUUGAAUGGGUUUCUAAUGAUCUCUGGGAUACGAGGCAGGUCUCCCACAACUCACUUCCUCCAGUGAUGCUAAAGCGAAUCCUUACAGUUCACACUGAGCCUGCCAUUCACUUGCCCGAAAUCCUUCACUAACGCGCAUCCAGCCCGUAGGAUGUGCCUCUCCCUCCUUUCUGGCCAUGAUAAACAAAGCCACCUUCCGCCCCAGCCUUGCUUCUCGGAUGUACCAGAAGUGGCAGCCACACCGUCUUCAGAAAUUUUCCGUGCAUUUUCAUUCCUAAGUGCCAUUUAAAAAAAAAUUUAAUGAUUUUUUUUCCCAUUAUAGCUGGUUUACAGUGUUUUGUCAAUUUUCUACCGUGCAGCAAGGUGACCCAGUCACACAUACACAUAUACAUUCUUUUUUCUCACGUUAUCAUGCUCCACCAAAAGUGACUAGAUAUCCUAAGGUCCAUUGUAAACACUGUUUUUUAAAUCCAGAAUGGGUUUUCCUCAUUGCCAAGGAAAUAUUUUCAUCCCAAAGGUUGGGAAACAAUGAUUCUUUGAAUACAUUUUUAAAAUUUCAAGUGCAUAUCAUGAGUGUUUGGGGAGCUAAAGAUUUGCCAAUUAGUGGGUGAACAGAAUUCAACUAAGAUAGGCUUAGCAAAGAGGGCAGAAAUUGUUAUUGCUAAUGGCGUUUAUUUUUUAUUAAAUUAUUAUUAUUUUUGUCUUUUUAGGGCUGCACCUGCAGCAUAUGGAGAUUCCCAGGCUAGGGGUCAAAUCAGAGUUGUAGCUGCUGGCCUCCACCACAGCCACAGAAACGGCAAAUCUGGGCAGGAUCUGUGACCUUCACCACGGUUCACAGCAACACCGGAUUCUUAACCUACUGAGUGAGGCCAGGGAUGGAACCUGCCUCCUCAUGGAUGCUUGUCAGAUUUGUUUCCACUGAGCCAUGAUGGGAACUCCACUGAUGGCUUUUAAAGUAGAAAUGAGUAUCAACCUUUGGAUGCUGAGAAAAAUAUAAUCAAAGUCUUUUUCUCAAGGAAUUAUGAACCUAUGAAAAACCCAGACUGUAAACAUUACUGGCACCACUACCGUGGAAAAGGCAAUAGAGCUAUCCAUUGAACUGUCAGUCUCCUUAUGUCCGAGGUGUCUUGCAGAAUCUGAUGUUAGUUUUUACACUGCUUACUGGCAUUGAUUCAAACACAUGCCUUUUUGUAUCAUCUUCAUAGAAAAUUAUUCCCUGGUCCCUCUCCAGGGUUUGAUCCUAAAAUGGCAGUUAACACAUCAACAGAAAAAUAAAAGAAAAAUUGUUUUAAAAAAUCUAGGAAGGGGUGAUUACACCAAAAUAUUCAAGGAAGAGAAGCAAAGUUCUUAGCAUUCCAGGAAGUGGUUGAGAUAAAUAUUUUGCAUGCAAAAAUUCAAUAACAGAUCAUCUUUGCUAUGUCAAUCUGUCUUUUUUUUUUUUUUUAAACGGUUGCAUCCAUGGCAUAUGGAAAUUCCUGGGCCAGGAAUCAAACCUGCACCUCUACAGUGACAUGGGUUGCUGCAGUUUGAUUCUUAACCCACUGCACCAUAGCAGGAACUCCCAAUCUGUCUUUAAUACACAGCUUGUAAAUGUAAACUUAGAAGAUUCUGAAAGGAAGCAUAUUUUGAAUGAUCUAUCUAAAACAGUCCCAAAUUAAGAAGUCAGUCUAAAACCUUCAAAACAGAACGAGUUUGGCCUUGCCUAGGAACAGUGAUCUUUGGUCAUUUCUUCUUCUUCUUCCAGGAUACACUCCAAACUCCCUAGUGUGACACCCAGGACCUCUGUAGUUUUCUCUUUCAGCAGUUGCCCGAUAUCAUUGCUUCUCCACGAACAUCACCCCUUCUAGUCAGACCAAAAUUGCUGGUUUCUUAAGGCAUCCGCUGCUUUCUCAGGCCUCCUUGCCUUUGUACAUGGUUGUCCUUCUGCCCAGUGUACUUUCCCUGUAUAAGUCUCUUUCAUCUUUCAAUACUCUGCACUAAUUACUAGAGAUUGACUUAAUAUCCUGCCUAGAUUUCCUUCUUGGAUAUUCUAUAAUACUGGUCUGUGUUUCUGUUGUACAUAUGCACUGGCUUGUAAUGGUGAUGAAGAUGGUGAUGAAGAUGACGGUGAUGAAGAUGAAGAUGGUGAUGGUGAUGAAGGUGGUGAUGAAAAUGAUGGUGAUGAAGAUGAUGAAGAUGGUGAUGAAGAUGAUGGUGAUGAAGAUGGUGAUGAAGAUAGUGAUGAAGAUGGUGAUGAAAAUGAUGGUGAUGAAGAUGAUGAAGAUGGUGAUGAAGAUG